Molecule: ribosomal RNA, 865 nt
Filed under: uncultured bacterium
Lineage: Bacteria
Description: bacterial SSU rRNA
Rfam family: Bacterial small subunit ribosomal RNA
Source: RNAcentral
GAGUUUGAUCAUGGCUCAGAAUGAACGUUGGCGGCACGCCUAACACAUGCAAGUCGAGCGAAGAACUAGUUUACUAGUUACUGAGCGGCGAACGGGUGAGUAAUACUUGGAUAAUCUGCCACUAGGAUUGGGAUAACCUCAGGAAACUGAGACUAAUACCAAAUAUGACCACAGUCUUUACGGAGACAGGGGUAAAAUGUUUUUCGCCUAGUGAUGAGUCCAAGUCGCAUCAGGUUGUUGGUAAGGUAAUGGCUUACCAAGCCUAUGACGCGUAGCAGGUCUUAGCGGAUGAUCUGCCACAUGGGGACUGAGAUACGGCCCUGACUCCUACGGGAGGCAGCAGUGAGGAAUAUUGGACAAUGGACGAAAGUCUGAUCCAGCGAUGCCGCGUGAAGGAUGAAGGCCUUAGGGUUGUAAACUUCUGUCAGCAGGGAAGAUAAUGACGGUACCUGCAGAGGAAGCCCCGGCUAACUCCGUGCCAGCAGCCGCGGUAAUACGGAGGGGGCAAACGUUAUUCGGAUUUACUGGGCGUAAAGGGUUCGUAGGCGGUUUCUUAAGUUAGAUGUGAAAGCUUGAAGCUUAACUUCAAAAUAGCAUCUAAAACUGAAUUACUAGAUUCUUGGAGAGGUAGAUGGAAUUACCGGUGUAGCGGUGAAAUGCGUAGAUAUCGGUAGGAACACCAGUGGCGAAAGCGAUCUACUGGACAAGUAAUGACGCUGAGGGACGAAAGCGUGGGUAGCAAACAGGAUUAGAUACCCUGGUAGUCCACGCCCUAAACGAUGAAUACUAGAUGUUGGAUUUUUUCAGUAUCGUAGCUAACGUAUUAAGUAUUCCGCCUGGGGAGUACGGUCGCAAGGCUGAACUC